AGAUGUAGCCAAGCUGGUAAGGCAAUAGACUUUGAAUCUAUGUAGCAGUGGUUCGAAUCCACUCGU
This 66-nucleotide transfer RNA is filed under the name uncultured Granulicatella sp. It matches the Rfam family "tRNA", at positions 5 to 66 of the family's 71-position model. Rfam says of the family: Transfer RNA (tRNA) molecules are approximately 80 nucleotides in length. Lineage: Bacteria; Bacillati; Bacillota; Bacilli; Lactobacillales; Carnobacteriaceae. The record is from RNAcentral.